Molecule: long non-coding RNA, 344 nt
Organism: Hippocampus comes (tiger tail seahorse)
Lineage: Eukaryota; Metazoa; Chordata; Actinopteri; Syngnathiformes; Syngnathidae
Exons: 3
Source: RefSeq, a predicted model, not a curated record
UUUAGCCAAGUCACCGCCGCAUGUGCAUAUACCUUUCUAUAACACGGUUCAUGCUGUGCGGCUUCGCUGCUUCACCGAUUUUUUUUCUUGCAGUUUUUUUUUUUUUUUUUCCUGUGCAGUGUGUUCUACAUCCUGAUUGGCGAAGGGACUGGAGACAAAUGUGAACAGUCUCCACGGUUCAUCGUUGUACAGCUUGCCACAUUUUUAAGAAAAUGUAUAUAUUUUAGCUUUUUUUUUUUUUUUAAAACGCUGGGGCCUUAAAAACAAACAAAAAAAAGGGCUUAAUAUUUGGUUUCAUUCAAUUUAAGGCUGCUGUUGUAAACGGAGUUUCAAAAUUAAAUUAC